AGAGUUUGAUCAUGGCUCAGAACGAACGCUGGCGGCAGGCCUAACACAUGCAAGUCGAGCGAGAAAGGGAGCUUCGGCUCCUGAGUACAGCGGCGAACGGGUGCGUAACACGUGGGUGAUCUGUCCUUGAGAUGGGGAUAACCCAGCGAAAGUUGGGCUAAUACCGGAUAAGACCACAGGAGGAAACUCCAGGGGUUAAAGGGUGCUCUCUUCGGGGAGCAUUCUCUUGAGGAGGAGCCCGCGGCCUAUCAGCUUGUUGGUAGGGUAACGCCUACCAAGGCAAAGACGGGUAGCUGGUCUGAGAGGAUGACCAGCCACACGGGGACUGAGACACGGCCCCGACUCCUACGGGAGGCAGCAGUGGGGAAUAUUGGGCAAUGGGGGAAACCCUGACCCAGCGACGCCGCGUGGGUGAUGAAGGCCUUCGGGUCGUAAAGCCCUGUCGGGAGGAACGAAUGAUCUCGUGGUGAAUAGCCGCGAGAUGUGACGGUACCUCCGAAGGAAGCACCGGCCAACUCCGUGCCAGCAGCCGCGGUAAGACGGAGGGUGCAAGCGUUGCUCGGAAUCACUGGGCGUAAAGGGUGCGUAGGCGGUCUCUCAAGUCUGGCGUGAAAGCCCAGGGCUCAGCCCUGGAAGUGCGCUAGAAACUGAGAGGCUUGAGUGCCGGAGGGGAGAGUGGAAUUCCCGGUGUAGCGGUGAAAUGCGUAGAUAUCGGGAGGAAUACCGGUGGCGAAAGCGACUCUCUGGACGGCAACUGACGCUGAGGCACGAAAGCGUGGGGAGCAAACAGGAUUAGAUACCCUAGUAGUCC
RNAcentral lists this ribosomal RNA (811 nucleotides) under uncultured bacterium. Its description in RNAcentral is "bacterial SSU rRNA". It matches the Rfam family "Bacterial small subunit ribosomal RNA", at positions 8 to 796 of the family's 1533-position model. The record is from RNAcentral.